UAACACAGGUGAAUUUGGGCCCCCUCCCCAAAAGACGUUUUUUCUCAUCAUCGGCCGAGUGUCCAGACUUUUACAAGGCCUAAUGGUGACUCCUACAGUGGUUGACACCGACUACCAUGGGGAGAUAAAAAUCUUAGUCACCUUUACCCUUAGGGCUGGAGAGCGCAUAGCCCAAGCCCUACACUCCCACUAUUCGGCCAUUUCCCUUAUUUGAAAGAGGAGCAAGGACCUUCCUCCCUGGGAUGCUCAGAAGUCUACUGGGCACAGAAAAUAACUGAUUCAUGGCCCAUGCCGACUUUGUUUCUAGAAGACAAACAGUUUCAAGGGCUCCUGGAUACCUGGGCAGCUGCGACAGUAAUUUCCUCAACACAUUGGCCUGCAGCCUGGCCCUUACAGCCCACUA
RNAcentral lists this long non-coding RNA (403 nucleotides) under Mus musculus (house mouse). RNAcentral's name for it is "long non-coding RNA chr7:15850313-15850716". Lineage: Eukaryota; Metazoa; Chordata; Mammalia; Rodentia; Muridae. The record is from RNAcentral.